CUGAAAAUUUUGCCAGGGGCGUAAAUGUAAAUAAAUGAAAAUGGAAAUGGAAAUGUAAUUAAUCUGUAUUUGAGUAAUUUUUGACCAAAGUAAUUGUAUAAAGUUGUAACUAAUUACCCGACCAAUGUAUUUACAUACAUAGUUGGUAAUUGUAUAAGUACAUACUUAAUUGCGCUCGUCGAGCGGUUACAGUCAGGAGCAAAACGAUAAGCGAUAUGGUUUUUUUCGCUUAGUUUUCACAUCAGUGUACCGAAUGACUUGAAGCUUUACACAAAUCUGUAUAAUUGCAUUACUUACUUAUAACAUUAGCAUGACAUUCCAGCUUCAUCGGAAACAGCUCGUAGCUAGAAAAAAUUGAAAAAUAGGUGGUGCAAAACGAUAGGCGAUGAUCGAUAUUUUUUAAUUAAAAGUCUAUUUAUUUUACUGAUCAAUAUUUGAAGUUUCUAGUGACUUUUGGUACUUCGACGACCCUAAUGCUUUGAAAUAAAUUCAUUACGUCGGGGGUACAAGGGGCCCACGAGCUAUUAGAGCGCCUGUGUCUCCACUCUCGCCUAAGUUUACAAAAUUGCAUCUUUCAUCUGGGUGACGUUGUCAUACUGCCAGGCCCCGUUCUAGGUAAUGUGGCGCCCUAGGCAAAAUUAUAAUGGCGCCCCAACGUUUUUGUUCCUUCGGCGCUCGCAAAGACUUCUGCUAAUUUGAUUUCACUUAGCUGAAUUUUCAAAAAUACCAAUCAGGUUACUUAAUAAUAAAAUUAAUUAUGAUUACGAAAACAAUAAUUAGCAGAUAUAUUUUUGUCGUCACAAAGACAAAAAUGAUUGAAUUGAAGUUGUUGCAUAAUUUGUCAUUUCAAAAUACUGAAAACUGAAAAUCUAUAUUGGUCGGCGGCGGCCGCGCUCCGCGGCGUGGUGAGCAAAUAUCGGCGGCGCCUACAUAAAUUACUAAACAUAUCUGCACUAAAUACAUAGGGUCUGAAACCUGCCAAUAAUCGGAAAUAUACGAUAUUUCUUGCAAAAUGAAUGUUUUCAUUAACUUUUUCUUCAUCAUGCACUUUCGACAAGUUUAGAGCAUUAUUGAAAAUGUAAUAUUUGACGAUAGGAAAAUUUUUAUCAUAUCAAUUUUCAAAAUUAAAGAAAAAUAAUUUUUAACAAAAUAAAAAAAAUAACUACAUUAAAAAAUUAAUCAAUUUAAGUAUAAAUCGGCGGCCGAAUAUUGGCGCCGGCGCGCCGACUAGAUUUUAGCGGCGGCGGCAUCGCGUCAAAACCGUUCGGCGCCCGGCGGCGCGGGCAAUCGGCGGCGUUGACCUCUGAGUUUAAACUCUUGGAAACGUAUUUUUGUAUUUCUAUAGAAGUAAUUUUGGGCCUACAUGUUCUUUCAUUUCUGAAAUAUCGUUAAAAUUGGAAAAUUUGCAGGCUUUUUAAAAAUCCUGAUUUUAGAUGAAACUGUAUUCAAAAACUCUGCCACAACCGAAAACUUGCGUAUUGAAAUUCCGUGAAGGGUUUCAUGAUAUUUCGGUAUAUGGGCAAUUUAAAAUUAGGUCAAAUUACGAGCAAAUUACUACGCAUUGCAAGUUGAACGAAAUUAUGAUGGAAUCCGAAACCGAGAAUAUUUUUCUCUCUCGGGAUAAAAAUUUCUCGAUAGAAAUGCAAACUCUCGCUUAUGGAUUCCGUCAUAAUUUCGAUUAAGCCGAACAUCAUGAGAAAUCCUGAAGCACGUGUUUAAUUAUGUAUCUCAGUCUACAUAAUUAUCGUGGUUUCGUCAAAACCAGCGCGACACCGCUGGCGUUAUGGACUUGUACUUCUCGCCUUCUGAGGCCUUGUUGCUAAAAAAUUAAAAGCACAAGAUUUAUAAAUAAAUUCCAGUUUUAUCCGGCAGAAAUUUCAAGCUAAAGUUUCAUUCAAGCAAAGUAUUGUGCAACAGAUUCCAGUCACAAUAAUUGAAACGCUCGGAUGUAAAACAGCCUUCGCGACAAUUUUUUUUUUAAAUUCAACCUAUCUAUCUAUUCAACCUAUUUAAAAAACCUAUCAGUACAGCUUUGCUUAGCCCGAGCCAGGAAUGUUUAGUAAACUCAUGUUUGUCAGAAUUUUCUAUAAAAAAUCGAAAUUCAGAUCUUAACUUAUUUUUCGCAUCCAUACUAAAAUUCAGCUGAAUAUUGAAACUAAUAGAAAUCGGUAUGGGUCACCCCCAAGGGACCCUCUUGUUACUUGUUGUUCAUAUUUGACUUCAAAUUAUUUCAUGAGAAGUCAUUAAGUGUCACCGUGCCGAAUUUCAGCUUCUUACGUCAAUUUCUAAAAAUCGGUAUGGGUCACCCCAAAGGGUCCCGGGCAUGAAAAUCCGAUGGACACUCGGAUUCAAAGAGUCGCACUUUCAACAAUGUAUCGUCUGCAAGUGAACAACCAAUGGUUGGGAUGGUAUGGGAGGGGAUUCAAAGGGCCUAUGUCACACAUGGACUUUUGCAAUAACCUCUCUAGUAAAGUAACUAUUGACGGGCCUGGGAAAACCGACCGUAGAGAGUGGGCUGUAGAGAGUGGGCUGAACAAGCAAACAAAUCCAGGUGGCAGGAUACUCAUCUGUGUAAGCAGACCGAACUCUUUCUUAACCUCUUAAGGACGAAGUACACACAUUUGUGUAGUAUUUUAUUUUCCGUUGAGGACGAAAUACACAAAUUUGUGUAAUAAUUUUAUUUCCCUUGGGGACGAAAUACACACAUUUGUGUAGCAGAUGAUUUUCCGUUGAGGACGAAGUACACAAAUGUGUGUACCGCAUAAAUUAUCCUGACACCCAAGUUUCUCAAAAAUAAGAGUAUUUCUUCGGUAUUUUUUGGAAAACUCUAUGGUAAAAAGUGGAUUUUUUCGGGUAUUUUUCUUCACAAAUUUUGGAAUUUUCCCUAUACCGACCAAUGUUAAAAAGUGGAUUUUCGUGUUUUUCGCAAAAAAACUCAAAACUUGGAAACUCGUGGAAAUAAAUGUUCCGUCUUUUAUAGGAAAUCACGAAGGUUUUAAAUGGUUGCUAUCAGGUGUAAUUAUGAAAUCGACAUCGUACCCAAGCGAAAUUUUGCUUAAAAAUCAGUAGUAUGAAAGAGGUUAAGGAGCCAUAUCAGGAAAACUUGGGAAACAUCAUAAAAUUAAACCGUAAUUCACUGCACCAAUUGUUCAGGUAGUAACGGGGCAUAAUAAUUUGAACUCACAUCUGUAUAAUUUGAACCUGGUGUCGUCCACUGGCUGCUUAUGCGGACAAGGGAAGGAAACAGGGUAUCACUUUAUUGCAGAAUGUGAUUUUUUUGCGAUGACCAGAUUGGUAGUACUCGAAGGGCUUUAUCUAACCUCCGAGGAAUUACUUGAAAUGCCGUUUGCCAGAUUAGCAAGAUUAAUUGCUAAGUCUGGAAGAUUUUUAAACGAUCGCGAAUGGCAGAUUUCGCAAUAUUAAACGCAAGUGCCCUUAGGGGAGUCGGUAAUUAGCCUUUAAUGUGCUACAGCCGCUGGCGUGACUGCCUCUAUUAAUGAGUAGUCUGGUCACCCCACAGUGCAAAAUUUGACCCUUUCUAAAGAAAGGUCCAUCUUCUGGAUUGUGCAAGGAAGGUUUCCGCCUAUAAUCCGACUUAAAACCUUUGGGACUUACCGUUGUGCGAAAGGGAUCACAUUUCAAAGCAGUAUGACAACGUCACCCAGAUGAAACAAGCAAUUUUGUAAACUUAGGCGAGAGUGGGGAAACAGGCGCUCUAAUCGCUCGUGGGCCCCUUGUACCCCCGAGAAACUAUACAAAACGCGGCUGGAGAAUUAGGUCCUCAAGAGGUCCCCCAGAUUCCGGGUAGUUCCGCACCCGUCCGCAUCGAGGCUCCCUCCGCAGCAAAUUUGGAAGACGAAUCUCGCGGUCCACUUGUGGCUCAGGAAACGACUGCGACUCUUACAAUUAGCAAUGGCUCACAACCAACCCAUGAUAACGCUGACGCACAGAUCAAUGGAUAUAUGAAAAAUAUCAAGGCCCAAAGGCGACCCAUUUGCAGAAAAAAGAGACUGACGAUAAGUUUAUUAAUUACUGGAAUCGUUAUCGCAUCUUUGUUAACUGCAUGGAUUCACGCCACCAUAAAGACCAAACUUCUGAACAAAGACCCCGCCCAGGGAACGGAAGUCGCCACACCUAUACAAAAUUAUCAUACUACCCCACCAGUUGCGAAAGGGCGGGAAAAUUUAUGCUUACGUUUAUCAAAAGACGAUAAACAAAGAUGUCGUGAAAUAUCCCCGCAGAAUGACAGACUUGUCACAUUAAAUUCUAAUAACCAACACGAUUUCUGUGACGGGGAAACCACCGGACGUUUCCUGGGGGGUAAUCUGAAUGCCUCCUCCGGCCAAGAAUUUUGUCCCCAUAAUCUCGUCGCGCUUGAAAUUUUGGUUACAAUAGAAGGAAAUCAGCUGACCAAUUUUCUGGACAGGUAUUGCCAAUUGAAAUCACUUUCAUUCGAGAAGAAUGCUUCACUACUGGGCAGUAUAGCUUACCCGAAGGAAAAGCGGGAUUUUCCACUGGAAUCGUUAUACUUCAUUGGAACGUUAAAUGUCGUAGAAAUUCUGAAUAAUCUUUCCGAACAUUUCGGGUUGCCUUGUUUGAUUGAGAUAAAUCUAGUUUGUAUAAACAUGAUGGCGGGGGAAAAUGCCAGUAUUCGCACGUUUGUAGCGUCACAUACAAGUGUAAGACGGAUUAAUUGUAAGGAUGACGACUUUUGUCAUAAUUUGGCAGAUAUAAAGAACACAAAUGAAUUAAAAGUCAACUACGCUAGUACAGGUUGUUGAACGUUUUGUUACGAAUUUGUAUCAAGUCAGAGUUGACAAUGAUGAGCUGGUAUGUAUCUCGUAACACUCGAAUAAAGUAUUGACUGGAUCCGUUGUCACUUAUUUUAAUAGUUGGAUUAAGGUGCGUCCCUUACAGACACCUUGGUCCAGGGAGUUAAUUAGACAAAUCGUCUUGAGCAAUGGAUGGCGUCGACACGCCGCCAAAAUUAUUAUUGCUCGUGUUACCCCUGAACUUAUCAACGUCUUGUUAGGAGUUUGGAUCGGUGUCCAAACUGUCCGGGACUACCGCCACCCCAAUGGCGUUCCUUAAGACGAAUAUAUGUAGGAACGCGUUCAAUGAAGUACGGCGAGACAAGCUGUUCGGGACCACUUUCUCGCAAAUUUUCCAUGGCGCAAGUAUGUAACUGCGCGAAACUACCAUGAUCAGGUCGAUGGUGCCGCCAUGAGACGACGUAAUUCUGGGAACGCUCCGCUCGGCGGUAGAGCCUUUGGGAUGCUCCAAUAAAGACGGGAAGCGUCCCGACGGAAUUACGUUUACCUAUGGUCAAGGGGGAAAUCUUUGAUUUAGAAUUUUACAUGCGCGGACAUAUUCGCCCCCAGUUAUUUUAUUCGACGCUGCGCUGCUAAGGCGCUGAUACCAGCAGCGCAGAGGGGGAAGUACGCCUUCCUCUUUGAUCAUUUCAAUUUUAUUCCUAUCGCAAUGGACACGCACGCGUGUGUGGGGGGAAAGGAGGGGCUUUCCCUUAUGAACGAAAUGAAAUUGCCAGAAUACGUCCACCUUUUCCCGCCACACAAUCUCGCUGGGUAUUCGGCGGAGAAACGUUACCUCUCUUUAAUGAACAUUUUCGGCCAAUUUUUAAUUUAUUUUUACUUUUUCAUUGUAAGUAUAUGAACGACUUUUUCAUUAAGGUUAGGAAAUUUGAAUGUUCGACUCCUUCGUAGUCAGCUUUUCUGACAUAUGGAUGUGAUAUGAUAAUGCGUUCGGAGGGAUAUUAAUUAUGUAAAAUACCAUAUUUAUAUACUUACUUAUUUUCAAAUUCUGUUAUAUAUAUAACUUUUUUAAAUCUAAUUUGAGGAAUAAAAUAAAAAAAAGGUUA
This is an RNA transcript of Folsomia candida, 5878 nucleotides long. RefSeq lists it as uncharacterized. The record is from RefSeq and is a predicted model, not a curated record. NCBI's taxonomy places the organism in Eukaryota, Metazoa, Arthropoda, Collembola, Entomobryomorpha, Isotomidae. The transcript is spliced from 3 exons.